RNAcentral lists this ribosomal RNA (520 nucleotides) under Drilonius sp. UPOL RK0136. Its description in RNAcentral is "partial 16S ribosomal RNA". The stretch from base 384 to 520 matches the Rfam family "Bacterial large subunit ribosomal RNA", at positions 2473 to 2610 of the family's 2925-position model. Lineage: Eukaryota; Metazoa; Arthropoda; Insecta; Coleoptera; Omethidae. The record is from RNAcentral.
CAUGUCUUUUUGAUAAUGAUUUAAAGUCUAAUCUGCUCAAUGAAUUUUAAAUUGCCGCGGUAUUUUGACCGUGCGAAGGUAGCAUAAUAAUUAGGUUCUUAAUUAGAAUCUGGAAUGAAUGAUUGGACGAGAAAUCAACUGUCUCAAUUUUAAUAUUUAGAAUUUAACUUUUAAGUCAAAAGGCUUAAAUUUUUUUGGAAGACGAGAAGACCCUAUAGAGUUUAAUAUUUAUAAUAAAUUAAUAUUUUUUAGUAUUUAUUUUAAUUAUUAAGUAAUAUUUAAUUGGGGUGAUUAUUAAAUUAAAAAAACUUUAUUUAUUAUUUUACAUUAAUUAAUGGUUAAUUGAUCCAAUGAUUUUGAUUAAAAGAGUAAAUUACCUUAGGGAUAACAGCGUAAUUUUUUUGGAAAGUUCAUAUUUAUAAAAAAGAUUGCGACCUCGAUGUUGGAUUAAGAUUUAUUUUGGGUGUAGAAGCUUAAAUAUUUGGUCUGUUCGACCAUUAAAAUUUUACAUGAUCUGAGU